UCUACACUAGGGGGGGGGAUCCAUCUAAGAUACGCAACCUCAUCUACGAGAAUAGCAUAGCUGAAGCCGACGUAUCUUAGAUUGACUUACCUCCCAUCCUCACGGCGUGGGAUCGA
Chelonoidis abingdonii (Abingdon island giant tortoise) is the source of this 116-nucleotide non-coding RNA. NCBI's taxonomy places the organism in Eukaryota, Metazoa, Chordata, Testudines, Testudinidae. The record is from RefSeq and is a predicted model, not a curated record.